UGGCUCAGGAUGAACGCUGGCGGCGUGCCUAAUACAUGCAAGUCGAGCGAGAUGUUAGCGCAUGAACCUUCGGGGGAUUAUGCUAACGGACAGCGGCGGACGGGUGAGUAACGCGUAGGCAACCUGCCCCUGACAGAGGGAUAGCCAUUGGAAACGAUGAUUAAAACCUCAUGACACCGUAGAAGCACAUGCUUCAUCGGUCAAAGAUUUAUCGGUCAGGGAUGGGCCUGCGUCUGAUUAACUAGUUGGUGAGGUAACGGCUCACCAAGGUGACGAUCAGUAGCCGACCUGAGAGGGUGAUCGGCCACAUUGGAACUGAGACACGGUCCAAACUUCUACGGAAGGCAGCAGUAGGGAAUCUUGCACAAUGGGCGAAAGCCUGAUGCAGCAACGCCGCGUGAAGGAUGAAGGCCUUCGGGUUGUAAACUUCUGUUCUAAGGGAAGAAACAAAUGACGGUACCUUAGGAGCAAGCCCCGGCUAACUACGUGCCAGCAGCCGCGGUAAUACGUAGGGGGCAAGCGUUAUCCGGAAUUAUUGGGCGUAAAGAGUGCGUAGGUGGUUACCUAAGCGCAAGGUUUAAUUUAGAGGCUCAACCUCUACUUGCCUUGCGAACUGGGCUACUUGAGUGCAGGAGGGGAAAGCGGAAUUCCUAGUGUAGCGGUGAAAUGCGUAGAUAUUAGGAGGAACACCAGCGGCGAAGGCGGCUUUCUGGACUGUAACUGACACUGAGGCACGAAAGCGUGGGUAGCAAACAGGAUUAGAUACCCU
This 769-nucleotide ribosomal RNA is filed under the name uncultured bacterium. Its description in RNAcentral is "bacterial SSU rRNA". It matches the Rfam family "Bacterial small subunit ribosomal RNA", at positions 20 to 788 of the family's 1533-position model. The record is from RNAcentral.